RNAcentral lists this ribosomal RNA (229 nucleotides) under uncultured bacterium. Its description in RNAcentral is "partial 16S ribosomal RNA". It matches the Rfam family "Bacterial small subunit ribosomal RNA", at positions 568 to 796 of the family's 1533-position model. The record is from RNAcentral.
UGCGUAGGCGGAAAAUUAAGUCAGUAAUGAAAUCCUGCAGCUUAACUGUAGAACUGUUAUUGAUACUGGUUUUCUUGAAUACAGUUGAGGCAGGCGGAAUGUGUAAUGUAGCGGUGAAAUGCUUAGAUAUUACACAGAACACCGAUUGCGAAGGCAGCUUGCUAAACUGUGAUUGACGCUGAGGCACGAAAGCGUGGGUAGCAAACAGGAUUAGAUACCCUGGUAGUCC